UUUUCGUUGCAUAAGAAUGUGACAUCAAAAUGAUAUAUCGGUAGUGAAUUUUGAAAAGGGCGAAUGCGCCAAAUGUAAACAAUCUGAGUUAUCACCAGGGUGAAAAAGUACGUUCUAUUCGUUCAGUCAGGUUCCCUCGAACUGAUGUUAUAAAUAAUUCUGUCACAGCCAAAAGCACUAAAACAAAACAAUCAUCAAAAUUAGUAUAUUUACAAGAAUUUUCGAAAAGAAUAUUUUUAAAAACGAGUCGUGCAACAAGUCACUACCAGACUCUAAUUUAAAAAAAAAAUUAAUAAAAAAAAUAAGUUUGUCUAAAAGUCAUUUUAAUUUAAAAACAUGAGAUAAUCCGUAACCAAAAAGAUCAUAACAUUUAUCGUAGUUUUGAAGUUCAAAAAAAAAAGUCACUCCCUUCAAUUUUUCAUUGCAAGACAUUAGAUUUCAAGUUUUUACGACUGUAUGAUUUAACACAGUGUUUUGCUGUAGCGCGAAAGUCAAUAAUCAAAACAAAAACAUAAUAAAGUUUCCUGCCAGCAGCUGUUCGGCUGUUCAUUCGGUCCGUUCUACAAAAAUGGAACAAUUUGCGCGAUACCACUAAGAAAUCCUUCGGGAUAGUCUGCUGUUUGAUUCUCAAAGGAGAGUAGAAGCUGUGCGGAUAGUGGUUGCAGUGGACAGGAAUACCGCCAUCGGAAAAAGUUCCCGAAAAGUUAAACUAUCCAGAUUCGAAUGCCCUUCUAUGUAUUCACCAAAUCAUCACCACACCCUCCUGGUGCGACUAGAACCGUCCCUCUCCGUGGUGUUUAUCAUGGACAUAACGAAGCCCGAAAACUACCCUCAGCUCCAGAUUGGGUUCGAACCAAUUUCUCGAAUUAAUUUGGAAAAUACAACAUAGAAAUUUCAGAGGAGCUAUCAAGAAAACGUGAUGGAAGGUGUCAGGCGCAGUACCAGUGUUACGGAAUCUGCACGACAAUUCACCGGAAUUGACCGAAUUUUAUGUCGCGAGUUUCUGUGGACUAGCAGCAAUCGAUACUUCUUUCCUGAUUUAUUAUGAGAUAGCCACCAACAGCAUUGGUGAUGAAAUCGAAUUUCAUCAAGGGGUACGGUCACUUUCGGAAGGAAUGAUAGCGCUGGAUUCGAUGUGCGAGACGUUUGGGUUUGGCAAGGUGUUGUAAAGUACGAACGUUGCUGGGAGCUCCACACCCACAUUCAUCGGAGAAAUGUGCUCUUUGAGAAUAGUCUACCCAGCAAGCAUCUAGAAUAAAACAUACAAACAACAAUGGAGAAAACCUAAUGGUAGAUAUGGACGAGAGCAAAUUAAAUGUAACGUUGAUGUUACGGAUGACGCCUCUGAUUAUGUUUGGCUGUCAAAAAAUCUUUGUACGCAAACUUGAUGAAUAUAAAAUCUAGAGACUGCGUUACAACAUUCAUAGCUGAUGAAAUCCUUUUCGCUAUCUAUUGCUAGCGUCCGGGUGAAAGUAGAAUUCCCAUCUGCGGAGAUGAAACUGUAAAGCCGCUCCGGCUUCUGCUUUGGAACCUUUCUGAGAAAAAGCUGCUGUAUAUCCUUCGAAUUCAUCAUUAGUUUAGGCACCAUGGGUCCCUGCUUGCUGUCAUCAAACAUGAGUACUCUUACGUUUGCGUCUCUGCUUUGGACUUGCCGAAUCAAGUCCCAACAUCAUUGCCCGAUUUGCAAAGGGAACAUUGUUUAAAAAGUGGAAGACUUCCUGCAACACUGUGCCGUUGGCCAUUUCACUGACCAAUACGCGUGUGAUUGUGGGAUUGAAGAACGAGCUGAUAUUAAUACGCGGAAAGACCAAUCCACCGGAACAAAAAAGUGGAAGAAGGGAUGGCAAUGAAAAUGUAUCCGAAAAUGGAUGAACAAUUUACUAAUUUUUAACUUAUAUUGGCCGGAAUGAAACCAUAUGCUCCAAGAAGAAGACAGGUUCAAGUAAAAUGCGAAGAUUAGAAAUAUCGCAGUUUCACACUGUCAAUUUAUGAAUUGAUAUGUGUAAUUAUACCAUUUUUCAAAAAACAGAUUCAGACGUUUAGCGACACAGAAUUGCAGCCGAAUAAUGAUAAGACAAAGCCAAAAAAAAAUUAACGGAAUUUGUGAACUUAUUCGAAAAAAAAAACAAUCUUUACCUCAUUUCAAAAGCAAUAAUUUUCUUUAAAAAAAUUGUUUUCAAUCCUAUUGUACUGCAAACUUGCUUUGAUUAACAAAUUCACAGUUCACAUAAGGAAAUUAGAUUUUUAUAAAAGAACUAAUGUACAGUUGCGUUCAAAAAAGAAUGAAAUCGCGUGAAGCUGCGCACCCACUUCCAACUUUGACAAGCUGCCAUUUCUCUCUCGGUUUAUAUUUUUUCAUGAAAAUUUCACACAAUCUAGUUCAACUAUCCAACUAACACUCCACAAAAUUUGAAGUCUUUAGAAUG
Uranotaenia lowii is the source of this 2426-nucleotide long non-coding RNA. RefSeq lists it as uncharacterized. NCBI's taxonomy places the organism in Eukaryota, Metazoa, Arthropoda, Insecta, Diptera, Culicidae. The record is from RefSeq and is a predicted model, not a curated record. The transcript has 4 exons.